UUAGUAACGGCGAGUGAAGCGGCAAAAGCUCAAAUUUGAAAUCUGGCACCUUCGGUGUCCGAGUUGUAAUUUGAAGAAGGUAACUUUGGAGUUGGCUCUUGUCUAUGUUCCUUGGAACAGGACGUCACAGAGGGUGAGAAUCCCGUGCGAUGAGAUGCCCAAUUCUAUGUAAAGUGCUUUCGAAGAGUCGAGUUGUUUGGGAAUGCAGCUCUAAGUGGGUGGUAAAUUCCAUCUAAAGCUAAAUAUUGGCGAGAGACCGAUAGCGAACAAGUACAGUGAUGGAAAGAUGAAAAGAACUUUGAAAAGAGAGUGAAAAAGUACGUGAAAUUGUUGAAAGGGAAGGGCUUGAGAUCAGACUUGGUAUUUUGCGAUCCUUUCCUUCUUGGUUGGGUUCCUCGCAGCUUACUGGGCCAGCAUCGGUUUGGAUGG
This 429-nucleotide ribosomal RNA is filed under the name Debaryomyces fabryi. RNAcentral describes it as "LSU rRNA". It matches the Rfam family "Eukaryotic large subunit ribosomal RNA", at positions 80 to 514 of the family's 3401-position model. The record is from RNAcentral. Lineage: Eukaryota; Fungi; Ascomycota; Pichiomycetes; Serinales; Debaryomycetaceae.